RNAcentral lists this ribosomal RNA (253 nucleotides) under uncultured bacterium. RNAcentral's name for it is "partial 16S ribosomal RNA". It matches the Rfam family "Bacterial small subunit ribosomal RNA", at positions 524 to 776 of the family's 1533-position model. The record is from RNAcentral.
UACGUAGGUGGCAAGCGUUGUCCGGAUUUACUGGGCGUAAAGAGCGCGCAGGCGGCCUUGUAAGUCGAAUGUGAAAGCCCCCGGCUCAACUGGGGAAGGUCAUUCGAUACUGUUCGGCUUGAAGAUAGGAGAGGGAAGCGGAAUUUCAGGUGUAGUGGUGAAAUGCGUAGAUAUCUGAAGGAACACCAGUGGCGAAGGCGGCUUUCUGGCCUAUUCUUGACGCUGAGGCGCGAAAGCUAGGGGAGCGAACGGG